Long non-coding RNA from Musa acuminata AAA Group (dessert banana), 654 nucleotides. RefSeq lists it as uncharacterized. The record is from RefSeq and is a predicted model, not a curated record. NCBI's taxonomy places the organism in Eukaryota, Viridiplantae, Streptophyta, Magnoliopsida, Zingiberales, Musaceae. The transcript is spliced from 3 exons.
AGCAGCAGCGAGAACGACGUACCAGCAACGGAAUCAUCAUCAAAGUGUACGAGGAAGCACCGCCGAGACCCGGUGCUAAUCGUCCGAUUCAGCGCCGGAGUCGACUCGGUGCACCGUCGUCGCUCGCUUACGACCGUAGGAAGAUGCUGCUUGCCUACUCUCAGCAGCUGCGACAGUGCCACGAGCAGCCAACCCAAGGCUGCUGCAAGAUCGUACACAGGCCGAGUUGGGGCCAAUGGAAGGCAGCCUUUCUGCGGAAUCAUGGUGGUAUGAAGAAGAGGAAUUCUUUGCGACGGCGAACUCGGGCGUGGAUUCGUCGAAUUAUGACCAGAAUCAGAAGGCGACUAAGGGAGUACAGCGCUAUCGUGCCUGCUGCCGAACACUCUCCUUCAUGUUCUUGCCGAGGAAUGUGGAGGUGCCUACUGGGAAGGCUUUCGUGGUUGUGGAGGCGUCGCAAUGGUGAUAGGCGGUUCUCCGGUUGCCGCAAGGCGCUGAGUUGUUCCUAGUUCUCGUCAUGCAUGCAUGAAUGUUUGGGAGUAAUAAAGAAAGCUUCUCCUUCUUCAAUAAUGCUUCCUUAUAAUCGAUCGAUCGUCUGUGUCAGUGCCUCAGAAUGAUGUCCCGUUCGUUAUCAUCAACGUCACAUAAACUUACAUA